Molecule: long non-coding RNA, 252 nt
Organism: Protobothrops mucrosquamatus (brown spotted pit viper)
Lineage: Eukaryota; Metazoa; Chordata; Lepidosauria; Squamata; Viperidae
Exons: 3
Source: RefSeq, a predicted model, not a curated record
AAGUGGUGGUGGUCAUCCUUGAUAAGGAACACCAUCCAGUAGAAAGAUUCGUCUUUGAGAUCAUGCAGCCACCAUUGCUGGCCAUCAGCUCCGAUUCCCUGCUCAACCACGUGGAGCAGCUUCUGCGGGCUUUUAUUCUGAAGAUCAGCGUCUGCGAUGCUGUGCUGAACAACAACCCUCCAGGCUGUACUUUCACCAUCCUGGUGCACACCCGUGAAGCUGCCACACGCAACAUGGAGAAGAUCCAAGUGA